Molecule: ribosomal RNA, 270 nt
Filed under: uncultured Planifilum sp.
Lineage: Bacteria; Bacillati; Bacillota; Bacilli; Caryophanales; Thermoactinomycetaceae
Description: partial 16S ribosomal RNA
Rfam family: Bacterial small subunit ribosomal RNA
Source: RNAcentral
UAGGGAAUUUUCCGCAAUGGGCGCAAGCCUGACGGAGCAACGCUGCGUGAGCGAGGACGGCCUUCGGGUUGUAAAGCUCUGUUCUUCGGGAAGAACGGCGGGAGGGCGAAUAACUCUCUCGCAUGACGGUACCGAAGGAGAAAGCCCGCGUAACUACGUGCCAGCAGCCGCGGUAAUACGUAGGGGCGGAGCGUUGUCCCGGAAUUAUUGGGCGUAAAGCGCGCGUAGGCGGCCGGUUAAGUCCUGUGUGAAAGACCACGGCUCAACCGU